UAAAGUGGCGCACGGGUGGGUAACACGUGGGUAACCUACCCCCGAAUCCGGGAUAACCUCGCGAAAGCGUUGCUAAUACCGGAUAUUGUCCUAUUGGUUGUGACCUUUGGGAUGAAAGGCAACCUCUUCAUGAAAGUUGUCGUUCAGGGAUGGGCCCGCGUACCAUUAGCUUGUUGGUGGGGUAACGGCUCACCAAGGCUACGAUGGUUAGCUGGUCUGAGAGGAUGAUCAGCCACACUGGAACUGAAACACGGUCCAGACUCCUACGGGAGGCAGCAGUGAGGAAUUUUGCGCAAUGGGGGAAACCCUGACGCAGCAACGCCGCGUGAGUGAAGAAGGCUUUCGGGUCGUAAAGCUCUGUCAAGUGGGAAAAAAGUCUGAUGAGUAAUAGUUGUCAGAUCUGAUGGUACCACUGGAGGAAGCACCGGCUAACUCCGUGCCAGCAGCCGCGGUAAUACGGAGGGUGCAAGCGUUGUUCGGAAUUACUGGGCGUAAAGGGCGUGCAGGCGGGUUGGUAAGUCAGAUGUGAAAGCCCUGGGCUCAACCCAGGAAGUGCAUUUGAAACUGCCAUCCUAGAGUAUGGGAGAGGAGAGUGGAAUUCCCAAUGUAGAGGUGAAAUUCGUAGAUAUUGGGAGGAACACCCGUGGCGAAGGCGACUCUCUGGACCAAUACUGACGCUGA
This 681-nucleotide ribosomal RNA is filed under the name uncultured bacterium. Its description in RNAcentral is "bacterial SSU rRNA". It matches the Rfam family "Bacterial small subunit ribosomal RNA", at positions 91 to 749 of the family's 1533-position model. The record is from RNAcentral.